RNAcentral lists this long non-coding RNA (1238 nucleotides) under Rattus norvegicus (Norway rat). RNAcentral's name for it is "long non-coding RNA NONRATT018903". The record is from RNAcentral. Lineage: Eukaryota; Metazoa; Chordata; Mammalia; Rodentia; Muridae.
CCAGGGAGCAAAGUGCUAGCUGUUUUUCAUUGUUCAGAUGUUUUACCUGAGAAACAAACUGUUGCCAUCACAUCCUCAGACCUGCUAGUGCCGUUGUGUGCAGUUUUGAAGGCGUAAAUGGUACAAGAUGCCGUCCCAGUUGUGCUUGGAGUUUCAGGUCUAGGCCAAGGGACAGGCCAGCUGGGCACACAGAAGGUAAUACUUCAGAGUAGGGAGAGACAUGGAUGCCCCUGGGUAUCUGGCACUUUAGCCAGUGGUACAGGCCACAGAGGUACAGGCCACACGCUGUACCUCCCAGUGGUCCAUCCCUGCAGCGCAUAUGAGCCAGGUCUUGGAAUCAGUGACAACGCUUUCUGCAGUGCUGUGGUCACAGGGUCCCUUCAAACAGCCCUGUCCAGCAUCUUGACAGGCUGAGGGGCUCGGUGUACAGAUUUCUUUCUGUGGAUGCCAAGAAACUGAGCAGAGAGCCUUCUUAAAACCCACCCUAAGGGCUACCAGGUCCAUGUGCCCAUGGUAGGGACCCAGCAGAUGCUAGCCUGACCCCUCCUCCCUUAGCUAUGUAGGUACAUGUGGUAGAGGUUGGCUGCUCCUGGCUCAAACAGGAGGAUCCAGUAGCUGUCUACCACCCACCAGGUUUCUAAGAUGCCAUGUGGAGACGGGGUCCACCCCAUUCUCUUCAGAAAUAGCAGCUUGUUUUCUCUGCUGGCAUGUGUCCAAGCAGCGAGAGCAGACUGGUAACUGAAAGCACAUAGGAGCAUGAGGCAGUGAGAGCCCAGGGGAGGAAGCCUUCUGGUGACCCUGCUUCUGCAUCCUGCCUUCCCAGCUGUCCACCAGUUUCAGAGGAGGUGCCAUGCUCCCUCACCCAGGCACCGUCAUAUGCAGUGGCUGGCCCUGUUUUAGAGCCAUGCAACACAGGCCGGUGAGUGGUAGAGCUGCACUGCUUCCACAAGGGGAGGCAGAAGGCUCUCCUCACAAGCCUGCUUGCUUUCUUCUCUAUCAGUGGAGGGUUUUGGAAGCCCUAGUUUUCUGCUGUGAUUUAGGGAGGCCAGGUUCAAGGUCCCUGGGACCUUUGCUGCUUUGGGAGGGGCCUGGGGUCUGAGCUAGAGGGAAGCUUGUCACUCUUCGGGAGCUUUCCUCUUGCCUGUCUGCUCCCCUCACCCCACCGCUGAAUUGGGGAGGGGUGUCCCAGGCCACAUCACUGGAUAGUUAGAAAUAAAUUGCUGUGCAAUCAAAGCUGA